This 973-nucleotide ribosomal RNA is filed under the name Leotiomycetes sp. genotype css044. RNAcentral describes it as "eukaryotic LSU rRNA". The stretch from base 445 to 973 matches the Rfam family "Eukaryotic large subunit ribosomal RNA", at positions 1 to 533 of the family's 3401-position model. The record is from RNAcentral. Lineage: Eukaryota; Fungi; Ascomycota; Leotiomycetes.
CAUUACAGAAGGAUAUCGCCCUCGGGCUUCUCUUCUCACCCUUUGUUUACCACACGUAGUUGCCUUGGCGCUCCGCGCCAGUGGAUCGAAACUCCUGAAUCAUUGCCGUCUGAGUACUAUUCAAUAGUUAAAACUUUCAACAACGGAUCUCUUGGUUCUGGCAUCGAUGAAGAACGCAGCGAAAUGCGAUAAGUAAUGUGAAUUGCAGAAUUCAGUGAAUCAUCGAAUCUUUGAACGCACAUUGCGCCCUCCGGUAUUCCGGGGGGCAUGCCUGUUCGAGCGUCAUUACAACCCUCAAGCUCUGCUUGGUGUUGAGCCCGCCCCGGCCUGCCCGGGGCUCGCUUCAAAGUCAGUGGCGGCCGCCGUCCGACCUUCAGCGCAGUAAUGCUCGCCGCUGUUAGGGAAGGGUAGCAAGGGCCGUCAUACAACCCCCACACACAAGGUUGACCUCGGAUCAGGUAGGGAUACCCGCUGAACUUAAGCAUAUCAAUAAGCGGAGGAAAAGAAACCAACAGGGAUUGCCUCAGUAACGGCGAGUGAAGCGGCAACAGCUCAAAUUUGAAAGCUGGCUCCUUCGGGGCCCGCGUUGUAAUUUGUAGAGGAUGCUUCGGGCGCGGCGCCGGUCUAAGUUCUCUGGAACGAGACGUCAUAGAGGGUGAGAAUCCCGUAUGUGACUGGCUGCCUGUGCCCAUGUGAAGCUCCUUCGACGAGUCGAGUUGUUUGGGAAUGCAGCUCAAAAUGGGAGGUGUACUCCUUCUAAAGCUAAAUAUUGGCCAGAGACCGAUAGCGCACAAGUAGAGUGAUCGAAAGAUGAAAAGCACUUUGGAAAGAGAGUUAAACAGUACGUGAAAUUGUUGAAAGGGAAGCGCUUGCAAUCAGACUUGCGCGGCGUCGAUCAGCCUGGGUUCUCCCUGGUGCACUCGGCGCCGCUCAGGCCAGCAUCAGUUUCGGCGGUGGGAUAAAGGCCUAGGGA